RNAcentral lists this transfer RNA (71 nucleotides) under Marmota monax (woodchuck). Its description in RNAcentral is "tRNA.Ala". It matches the Rfam family "tRNA". Rfam says of the family: Transfer RNA (tRNA) molecules are approximately 80 nucleotides in length. Their secondary structure includes four short double-helical elements and three loops (D, anti-codon, and T loops). The record is from RNAcentral. Lineage: Eukaryota; Metazoa; Chordata; Mammalia; Rodentia; Sciuridae.
GGGGCUGUAGCUCAGUGGCAGAGUGCUUACCUAGCAUGUGUGAGGCACUGGGUUUGAUUCCCAGCACCACA